UUUGGGAAUUCAGGAGGGUUUUUUUGGGGGGAUUUUGGGGCAUUUUGGGGUUUUUUGGGAAGGGAAAUUCUGCAGGAAUUUGUUCCCAAAUCCCACAGGACGCGAUGAGGCUUUACUACGUGUGCACGGCCCCGCACUGCGGCCACCGCUGGACAGAGUGACCCCAAAACUGAGCCCAGAAUCGCCCCCAAAUCACCCCCAAAUCACCCCAAAACUGAGCCCAGGAGUCACCCCAAGAAUCACCCUGAAAUCACCCCAAAAUUACCCCAAAAAAUGACCCAAACACCCCUAAAACGACUUCAAAAAUCACCUCAAAAAUGACCCCAAAAGUGACCCCAAAGUGACCCCAAAUCCCCCAAAUUGACCCCAAAAUCCCCCCCAAACCCCUCUGGGAUCCCCAAAAAUUCCAGGGAAACUCAAAUUCUCGAUUUUCCCCCCAAAACCCAAACUCAGGAGAACGAAAUUUUCCGGGAAUUUUUAUUCCAAUCCACCAAAAACCGGGAAUGGGAAGGGGGAGGGGGAGGGGAUUAAAUAAGACAAAAAAGGAGGGAACGGAAAAGGGGGAAAAAAACAAAAAAAUCCCAAAAUUUUUUGGGUGGGAAUUUUUUUUUUUUUCCUCAUCCUGAAAACGCCAAAAAUUAAAAAAAAAAUCCUGGAAAAAAAAAAAUUCCGGGAUUUGGGAUGGAGGCGGUGCCAUUUAUACAAAUAUAGUGUUUUAAAAACAAGGGAAUUUCAGGAAUUUUGGGGGGAAUUUGGGGAUUUUUGGGAAUGGGGGGAGGGGGUUUUAAACCCUGAGCCGCUCCAGGAAAUAAUUUAGGGAAUUUUUUGGGAAUUUUUUGGGAAUUUUUGGGGGGGGAUGAAAGUGCCUGGAAGCUCCUUAAUUAUUAUUGGUUGUUCCUCAUGAAUUAUUCAUUAUUAUUAAUGAGCUUGGAGCUCCGCCCCCCCGGGAGGGGGAGGGGCUCUUAUUGCCUUGGGAGGGGCCCGGAAGCCUCCGGAAUCCCAGGGAAAGUUCUGGAAUUCCCUGGAAAGUCCAGGAAUUCCCUGGAAAGUUCUGGAAUUCCCUGGAAAGUUCUGGAACGUUCCGGGUCCCGUCGGGCAGGUCCCGGAUCCUUCCGGAAUCUUCUCUGGGAAUUCUGGGCUGGGAUCCCGCGGAGCCUCCCCGGCCCCAAACGGAUCCAAACGAACGGAUCCAAACCCGAUCCCGGAUCCCAAACGGAUCCUGGUGGAUCCCAGACCGAUCCCAGACCCCUCCAGAUCCUCCCAGGGCUCUGCUGAGGCGCCGGAGCCGCCGAUCCCGAUGGGAAUGUCCCAGAUCCGGGGGGAUCUCCCCGUCCCAGCGGAUCCCGGUGGAUCCCGGCGGAUCCCGCUCACGGCUCCGGGUGCUCCGGGGCCCCCGAGAAGAUCCUGGCGAAGCGCCGGAGCUGCCGCGCGGCCGAGCUCGACUCCUGCUGCAGCCGCCGGUUGUUCUGCCGCAGGUUGGCGACCUCGGCCUGCAGGAAAACCUUGUCCUGCUUCUCCUGGGGGGAAAAUCCGGGAAUUCCGGGAAUGUCCG
Molecule: long non-coding RNA, 1552 nt
Organism: Cyanistes caeruleus (blue tit)
Lineage: Eukaryota; Metazoa; Chordata; Aves; Passeriformes; Paridae
Source: Ensembl